This is a long non-coding RNA of Pan troglodytes (chimpanzee), 1633 nucleotides long. The record is from Ensembl. Lineage: Eukaryota; Metazoa; Chordata; Mammalia; Primates; Hominidae.
GUCGUUGUGGAAUGUGUCUAUCACUGAGAGCUGAAAGAAAACUGACCAAGACAAGUUCAAUGGCCAUGAAAUGAACCAUGAGCAAAUGUCCAGAGGUGGGAAGGCAUGGGGUGGAUUCCGGGCACUUGACGCUGCCCAGCUUGCUGAUGUGCAAAAGGUCCUGCUGGAGACUCACAGAAGAGUGUAGCAGGGAAGAGCUCUGGUCAGAUGGCAGGACGGGCCAGUGCAAUGAUUGUGAGGGCCCCAACAAUCAAGACCAGGAGGUGCUGCUGCUGUGUGGUGAGCACAUUGUCAGCCUGAACGGGGAGCGGGACAGAGGUGUAUGGGGGUACAGGGUGGAUGAGUGUCCCUCCCUGCAGCAGGGCUCUGUUUGUCCUGCCAUUGAACAACUCGGGUUUCAUGCAGACUCUCAUGCACCUGCCGUCGGAAGAUUUGAACUUUCUUCUUGGAAACCUAAUACCCACAGUCCUCCAGUAAAUCCCAAGUAAGGUACCUGCCGUCGGCAGAUUUGAGAUUUCUUCUUGGACACCUAACACCCACAGUCCUCCAGGUGGGUCCUAAGGAUGUUAAGAUCCGGGAAGGGGGUCCUAACACAGGGGGGGGAAGAGGGGCUGGCUCUCAGUCCCCGCCUCGCAGGGGGUGCCUCCCCCGCCCUGUGAUGGGGGUCCUAAGAGCCAGAGGCGGAAGAGGGGCUGGCUCUCAGUCCCUAACAUAGCGGGGGGGGGGUGCCUCCUCCUCCUGUGAUGGGGGUCCUAAGUGCCAGGGGGGAAAGGCGGGCUUGGUCUCAGUUCCCGCCCAUCGGGUGGUGCCUCCCCACCCUUCGAUGGGGAUCCGAAGAGCCAGGGGGGAAGAGGGGCUGGCUCUCAGUCCCCGCCUCGUGGAGGGUGCCUCACCCCGCUGCGAUGGGGGUCCUAAGAGGCAGGGGGGGAAGAGUGGCUGGCUCUCAGCCACCACAAAAUGGGCGGCCUUAAUGUUCAGGUGUGGCCCAAGAAUCAGCUUAUUUGCUUCUUGUACUAGUAGGGCAGUUGCUGCCAUGGCCCUCAAACAGGGGGGCCAUCCUUUAGAAACUCUGUCUAGUUGUUUAGAGACAUAGGCCACCGGCCUCAGCCAGGGCCCCACAGUUUGGGUUAAAAGUCCAACUGCCACCUUUUCUCUCUCUGACGCAUUCAGUGGCAAAGACUUUGUCAGAUCCGGUAGCCCCAGGGCUGGGGCUGCCAGAAGUUUAUCUUUAAACUCAUGACAGACUUCCUGUUGUUGGGAUCCCCAUUUCAAAAGUUCCAGGUCCCCGCCCCCUUUGUGACCUCAUACAAAGGCUUGGCUAAUACUGCAAAGUUUGGGAUCCACAGUCUACAAAACCCCACAGCUCCUAAGAAUUCUCUCACCUGCCUUCUGCCCUUAAGCUCCAGUAGAUUGCAAAUAACCUGCUUUCUUUCUGUUCCAGAGCAGCGUUCGGACCCGUUGGAUCGUGAAUCCCACGUAAGGUACCUGCCCUCAGAAGAUUUGAACUUUCUACUUGGACACCUAACACCCACAGUCCUCCAGGUGGGUCCUAAGGAUCUUAGGAUCAACGAUGGGGGUCCUAAGCCAGGGGGGGAAGAGGGUCUGGUUCUCAGUCCCCGCAGAGAGAGAUAAA